Dromaius novaehollandiae (emu) is the source of this 1802-nucleotide long non-coding RNA. RefSeq lists it as uncharacterized. Lineage: Eukaryota; Metazoa; Chordata; Aves; Casuariiformes; Dromaiidae. The transcript has 2 exons. The record is from RefSeq and is a predicted model, not a curated record.
GACACUCACAUCGACGGGCUGAGCAGUCUCUCAGCAUCCGCCGGAAUCAGACCCUUAUUUUGAAGGUAGGUUACAGUGAAUAUUCUAAUCAACAUGUUUUAAUUCAAGCGCCUCAAAUCAUGCGUCUGACUAAGAGGAACAGCAAGGAUUUUGUUGGAUUUACCCACAGCAAGAGAUAAUGGAGGAAGAUUGUCAGCUGGCAAUAGCAGCUAUAUGCUGCUAGUAUAACAUCACACUGCGCUAAACACUAGCUUGUGUGAAAUGUAGUCAAAAACAUUUCUCCUUCCUUUCUUCCUUCCCAUAUUUUUCUGCCUGAAUAGUGUAAAGCAGGGCUGCCCAUCUCUGGACCUUCGGAUCACAGCCUUUAUCUGCAGUAGAUGCUAGUUUGCAGAGUUGCAAGCGGGAAAGGAGGUAGCGCUGAGGUGGAUUAGCAUCUUUAUCCAGAUCAGUUUUAGGGCCAUUUCAGCAGUUUUUCCUGCUGUUCCCAUCCUGUUUGGAAUGACAGCCCGUUAAUAGCUAGGCUUCAGUGGUUUAACAUAUUACUUCUCCAUAUUGUAAGUUAUAUUAGCAAGUUAUACUGGCAAGUACGUUAAUGGAUAUUUUACAAUUAGUGAUAGCUUACACAUUGUCAAGCCAGUGUUGAGGAAUUAGCCGUGUCAGACAGCAAAUAUUGUUUCUUCCACUGCCACCUUCCUCCCUCCAGCCUUCCAAUGAGAGAAGCUGUCGAAGAAAUGAGAGGGAUGUUGAGAGGCUACAAUAGGAGUAAGGGGGACUGAACUGCUAUGUUGCACUUGCUGGAAUUAGGACAGACCUUCCCAGAAGCAGCUGAAAAAUACUCUCAGACCAGGUCCCUUGCCCCCAUCUCCCUCUGUGGAUAUGCCAAAGGGAGGAGCUCUCUUUGUAAAGAUCACCUGAGUUCCUGAGCUUCUCAUUUGUUAUUUCUAUCUCAUGGUGUAGUGAGUACUUUCCCUUUGAAUUGCUUCUCUUUGGAGCUGGAGGUGUUGAGUUGGAAGUGACUGUCCUGGACAGUGUAAUCUUCUGAGCAGCUGGAUGUAGUUAGAAGGAUCCAAAUGCUGGAAUUUGCUACACCCCUAUCUGGGAUGCCUUUGCCUCUCCAUUGGGUGGGGGAAGGUGGCUUAAGACAGCAUUAGAGUGAACUGUAUCAUGGCAAUAAGCAUAAUGCUUUCUGCUUUUCAGGUGCUCCCCAUCUGAAUGGCUUCAGCAUCUGGUUGUGUACUGUGUUUAUGCUUCCCCUGCCCUUCUGAAUCCAUAAUUGUAAAGUUUAUGCACCCUGGAGCUCACAGAGGUGGUGAUAGAGCCAAAGAGUUGCAGCUCAGCACAAUUAGUAGAAUCAAGAGGCUCUGAGUUACCUGGGUGCGAAGUGGUUAAUUUCUUAAAAGCAACACCUUCAUCUGGCAUCAUGACGUGAAGUAUACCCUCUCUCUACCUUUGCUGUUAACACACAACACAGCAUUCCUCCAAAUAUUUCAGAACAAACAAAACUGGAAUUGGCCUAUGUGUCUCAUGAGAAAACCACUAAAAGAUAUACUUAUGUGUUAGAGAGGUGCCCGAAUGACUUAGAGGACAGCUAGCAGGUGAUUGUUGUUCAGGAGCUGAUGUAUCGUAUCCAGUUCUUUUUUUUAUGUUGGUUAAUUUGGUUACACUAUUGUAUCCAUCUGUUGGGGGCUUUUUUCUUAUACUUUGAGUAUACAUUCCUCAGGGCAGGGGCCAGCUUUCUUUGUGUCUUGAUAGAGACUGUACUAAAAGUUACUGCUGUUGCAAUAAAAUAUUUUCAUCUCUGG